RNAcentral lists this ribosomal RNA (853 nucleotides) under uncultured bacterium. RNAcentral's name for it is "bacterial SSU rRNA". It matches the Rfam family "Bacterial small subunit ribosomal RNA", at positions 28 to 896 of the family's 1533-position model. The record is from RNAcentral.
GACGAACGCUGGCGGCGUGCUUAACACAUGCAAGUCGAGCGAUGAAACACCUUCGGGUGUGAAUUAGCGGCGAACGGGUGAGGAACACGUGAGAAAUCUGCCUUCAACACUGGGAUAACUCCGGGAAACCGGGGCUAAUACCGGAUACGAGACCUGCAGGCAUCUGCGGGUCUGGAAAGUUUUUCGGUUGAAGAUGAUCUCGCGGCCUAUCAGCUUGUUGGUGAGGUAAUGGCUCACCAAGGCGACGACGGGUAGCCGGCCUGAGAGGGCGACCGGCCACACUGGGACUGAGACACGGCCCAGACUCCUACGGGAGGCAGCAGUGGGGAAUAUUGGGCAAUGGAGGAAACUCUGACCCAGCGACGCCGCGUGCGGGAUGAAGGCCUUCGGGUUGUAAACCGCUUUCAGCAGGGAAGAAGCGAAAGUGACGGUACCUGCAGAAGAAGCACCGGCUAACUAUGUGCCAGCAGCCGCGGUAAUACAUAGGGUGCAAGCGUUGUCCGGAAUUAUUGGGCGUAAAGAGCUCGUAGGUGGUUCGUCACGUCGGAUGUGAAACUCUGGGGCUUAACCCCAGACCUGCAUUCGAUACGGGCGAGCUUGAGUAUGGUAGGGGAGUCUGGAAUUCCUGGUGUAGCGGUGGAAUGCGCAGAUAUCAGGAGGAACACCAAUGGCGAAGGCAGGACUCUGGGCCAUUACUGACACUGAGGAGCGAAAGCGUGGGGAGCGAACAGGAUUAGAUACCCUGGUAGUCCACGCCGUAAACGGUGGGCACUAGUUGUGGGGACCUUCCACGGUCUCUGCGACGCAGCUAACGCAUUAAGUGCCCCGCCUGGGGAGUACGAUCGCAAGAUUA